CGCGAAUCGCCCUUCGGGGUGCCCAGGCGCGAAAACUUUACAAUGCUGGCAACAGCGAUAAGGGGACCUCGAGUGCCAGGAUACAAUCUUGGCUGUCGUGAUGCCUAAAAAGCAUUGCAUAGCAAGGGCCGGGCAAGACCGGUGCCAGCCGCCGCGGUAACACCGGCGGCUCGAGUGGUAACCGCUAUUAUUGGGUCUAAAGGGUCUGUAGCCGGCCGAAUAAGUCUCUUGGGAAAUCCGACAGCUCAACUGUCAGGCUUUCAGGAGAUACUGAUCGGCUCGAGGCCGGGAGAGGUGAGAGGUACUUCAGGGGUAGGGGUGAAAUCUUGUAAUCCUUGAAGGACCACCAGUGGCAAAGGCGUCUCACCAGAACGGUCCUGACGGCAAGGGACGAAAGCUAGGGGCACGAACCGGAUUAGAUACCCGGGUAGUCCUAGCCGUAAACGAUACUCGCUAGGUGUCGGCCACGGUGCGACCGUGGUCGGUGCCGUAGGGAAGCCGUGAAGCGAGCCACCUGGGAAGUACGGCCGCAAGGCUGAAACUUAAAGGAAUUGGCGGGGGAGCAC
RNAcentral lists this ribosomal RNA (566 nucleotides) under uncultured archaeon. RNAcentral's name for it is "bacterial SSU rRNA". It matches the Rfam family "Archaeal small subunit ribosomal RNA", at positions 312 to 879 of the family's 1478-position model. The record is from RNAcentral.